Molecule: non-coding RNA, 45 nt
Filed under: Schistosoma margrebowiei
Lineage: Eukaryota; Metazoa; Platyhelminthes; Trematoda; Strigeidida; Schistosomatidae
Source: RNAcentral
AUCCAGCUGAUGAGUCACAAAUAGGACGAAACGCGCGUUCUGAAU